AUGACCUCGAUCAGUAGAGCCGUCACG
RNAcentral lists this ribosomal RNA (27 nucleotides) under Podosphaera pannosa. RNAcentral's name for it is "partial 28S ribosomal RNA". Lineage: Eukaryota; Fungi; Ascomycota; Leotiomycetes; Helotiales; Erysiphaceae. The record is from RNAcentral.